RNAcentral lists this long non-coding RNA (1229 nucleotides) under Anas platyrhynchos platyrhynchos (common mallard). RNAcentral describes it as "lncRNA (ENSAPLG00000030043.1)". The record is from RNAcentral. Lineage: Eukaryota; Metazoa; Chordata; Aves; Anseriformes; Anatidae.
GGCUGUUGCCAAUGGCAUUUCUGGUCAGACAGACAACAUGAAGUCAUAUAUACAGCACUUACCUGCCUGAAACGCUGAGUGCUCUGCUGUGCAUCCCAGCAGCGUCAGGGUUACCGGGUAGCCUGUAAUUGUAUAAAAUUUAGGUUUUCGUAGGAAAUGGAUAGGAAUGGGUAAUUGCUCACAGGAGGUGGUCAUAAUUGCCUUUGCUAACAUGUAAGGGCAUAAGCUGUUGCCUCUAGCCCCACUUUAAAAGGACAAAGCAAGGAGCAGUUGGCAGGAGGAAGAGGUGGAGCCUGCCAGAGGAAUUUCCCAUAAAGAAGAGGUGUUUGGUGUUUGACAGGGAUUUGUGCAUAUCCUGGAUGGGAAGAGGCCACACUUACUGUAGCUGCAUUGCUGCCUGACACUGCUGGCUGUAGGAAAGCCAAUGGAAGAAUUACAGAAACAGCAAGUAGAGUAUAGAAGGCCUUAAGAAGGAUCAGGAAAUUGGUGAGGAGCUAAAUCUUUCCUCAGCCUAAAGAACACUGUACAAGGCCGAGCCUCCACCUCCCCAGCCCUUUCUGGCUUACUACAGCUCUUGUCAUUUAAAGCACAGCCACACACCAAUUCUGCUGAUCCUAUGGGGCUGACCUUCCCUGCUAUAGAGGCAUCUCUUUGAUCAGCAUAUCUGCACCCUGAGAGACUCUGACUGCUGGUUUUCACUCUUGCUGGCAAGAGGAAGCCACUGUGGUUAGGGAAAAGCAAGGGUGAAUGCUUUGCAGCAAUAAAAUGUAAAACUUCAUUAGCAAUGGACAGAAGAAACAUGCCUAGAAGAUUCAAAGACAUGAUAUUCCUGCAGAGCACUCUCGUGGGGCCCAAGAUGGCUGUUGAUAGCCAAGAAUGCAUUACGCUGAAGCAUCACAGGUCCUGGAAAAUCCUAUCAAACUUUAUGGAAAAUGAUAACAUUCCUGCGAGCUUAAUGAACCGUUCCAAAGUUCUUAGGAGCGGUACACCCACUGCUGAAAUGUACGGGUGGUGCACGCAACCUUGCAGAAGAGAUAAAGCUCUCUGACAGUCCUGUGGUGGUAGUCUGGCCGAACCCUCUUUCAUCUCCAACAACCAUAUUCACUCCUAACAUGGUCCUGUAAAUGUUCUGAGCCUCUACAGAAACCACUGGCCUCAGCCCUAGCCUGCUCUGUAGGGCUUUUCUGAAAGGUUUAUGACUUUACUAAUAAAAUAGACCCCAGAUUAAC